Long non-coding RNA from Carassius gibelio (silver crucian carp), 1836 nucleotides. RefSeq lists it as uncharacterized. The record is from RefSeq and is a predicted model, not a curated record. Lineage: Eukaryota; Metazoa; Chordata; Actinopteri; Cypriniformes; Cyprinidae. The transcript is spliced from 5 exons.
AGUGAUCUGGUUUAUUAAUCCACUUAUGUUGUGUUUACACAUUGACUCAUCCACAGUGCGUUACAGAGCCUGUUUACAUAAGCCCAGACUCAGUUCAGCCCACGCUUAAACAAACACACACAUCUGCCUAGCGAAAUAAAGAGAUGCCACAUUUUUAUUUGUAGACGAAGAGACGUAUGUCAAAAAACGAAUCUUCUUUCUUUUUUAUUUUAUAAGCUUUGCCUGGGGAAUUAAACUGUACAACAUUAGUGAACGGAUUCGUUAGCACAUGACAUGGUCUUAAAGCACACGAUGAACAGAAUCAUCUUUAAAGUUUGGGUAACCUGUGUGUUUGUGUGUGUGUGUUAGGAGCUGUUGUAUCUUUGGGCUGUUGUAUCAACUGAUUUGGGCUGUUUUCACUAGUAAAUGGUGUGUGCUUAUUUCUCUCCUGAUUCAGACAGGACAACUUUUUCCACUAUAGAAAGCAGUAUUAUGGAUAGAGACUGGAAGCAAUAUCUGGAAGCAAUGUUCUGAAGUAAAAAAUGUCUUCAUGAUUGAUUUGUUUAUUAUAAACAUGCAGCUUUUCUCUUCUCAAGAUGUUAACGUAUGGACUGGAGUGAUGUGGAUUAUUGUGAUGUUUGUGUGGACACUCAUUCUGACGGCACCCAUUCACCGCAGAGGAGCCACUGGUGAUCAAGUUAUGCAAUACUACACUUCUCCAAAUCUGUUCUGAUGGAGAAACAAACUCAUCUAUUUUGAGCAUGACACGAGGCAGCUAAAGUGAUGCAGGAUGCCUUAAAUGAGUUCACUGGCUCUCCAGAGGAGCCUGGAGUCAGAGCUGGCACUAAUGUGAGGAGAUAUGGAGCUGAGCAUGCUCAGAAACAUCACGUCUAUAUACAGGCCAAAGAAAAAAUGACAAACAUCUACUUGAACCACAGGAAAGAGAAACGCCUUUAGGUGAGAGAUGUGCAUUCAUCAGGAGCAGCCCGACUCUGUGUCUGCGCAGAAGAUCUGCAGCCAAACACUGCAGCAUCCAGCAUGGCUACGAAUGAGCCGUCAAGUUUUACAAAGAGGCGCUUGUGUACUGUGAAAGUGACAGCAAGCAGAUGUUUCAGAGUCCCCUGCGAACAGCUGCGCAGGUAAAUGUGUGUGUCUGUGUCUCUGAUCAACAAAUCUCACACAAGUGGACCAGUCCAUUUAUUUUCUCUCCAUAGUAAUUGAUUUAAACAGUAACAUAUAAACAUUCAAAACUUUUUUUUAAUUCAGUCAUGUUAAGGUAUUUUUACACUAAAGCUUGCAUCUUCUCCCACAGCUCUUAGUUUUUUUGUUUUUCCUUUUCUUAUAGGUGAACUUCUCUUCUCUGUGUUUGUUAGAUGAUGGCAGAUCUUAUGUUCAGGAUGCAGGACUAUGAACAGGCUGUAUUUCACUUCCAGCAGCUCUUGGAAAGGAAACCAGACAACUACCCGACGCUGUCUCGCCUCAUUGAUCCGCUGUGCAGAGCCGGCAAACUGCAGGAGGUUCCAAGAUUCCUCGAGAUGGCAGAGAAACACUCAUCGAGGGCCAAGUUUGAGCCUGGAUACAACUACUGCAAAGUGCUCUACCUGUGCUAUGAAUGUAAAACAUGGGAAAAUAGAGGGUUUUGCUUUAUGAUGGUAAUAUAAGGUUUCCCAAAUAAGGUUUUGUGAACCCCUGGGGGUCCAUCAGGUAAUGAAAGCUAAUAUACCAAAUCACAUAAUUUUUAUUAUUAUUCUGAAUUAAUUUUGAUUUUAAAGUCAAAAUAAAACACUUCAUAAACAAGUUAAUUUAUUUUUAAUUUUUUUGCAUAUAUUUGUGUCAUGUGACCAUUAACGGACUUCA